GAUGAACGCUGGCGGCGUGCCUAAUACAUGCAAGUCGAGCGAACGGACGAGAAGCUUGCUUCUCUGAUGUUAGCGGCGGACGGGUGAGUAACACGUGGAUAACCUACCUAUAAGACUGGGAUAACUUCGGGAAACCGGAGCUAAUACCGGAUAAUAUUUUGAACCGCAUGGUUCAAAAGUGAAAGACGGUCUUGCUGUCACUUAUAGAUGGAUCCGCGCUGCAUUAGCUAGUUGGUAAGGUAACGGCUUACCAAGGCAACGAUGCAUAGCCGACCUGAGAGGGUGAUCGGCCACACUGGAACUGAGACACGGUCCAGACUCCUACGGGAGGCAGCAGUAGGGAAUCUUCCGCAAUGGGCGAAGGCCUGACGGAGCAACGCCGCGUGAGUGAUGAAGGUCUUCGGAUCGUAAAACUCUGUUAUUAGGGAAGAACAUAUGUGCAAGUAACUGUGCACAUCUUGACGGUACCUAAUCAGAAAGCCACGGCUAACUACGUG
RNAcentral lists this ribosomal RNA (497 nucleotides) under uncultured bacterium. RNAcentral describes it as "partial 16S ribosomal RNA". It matches the Rfam family "Bacterial small subunit ribosomal RNA", at positions 28 to 507 of the family's 1533-position model. The record is from RNAcentral.